GAUGAACGCUGGCGGCGUGCCUAAUACAUGCAAGUCGAGCGAACAGACGAGGAGCUUGCUCCUCUGACGUUAGCGGCGGACGGGUGAGUAACACGUGGAUAACCUACCUAUAAGACUGGGAUAACUUCGGGAAACCGGAGCUAAUACCGGAUAAUAUAUUGAACCGCAUGGUUCAAUAGUGAAAGACGGUUUUGCUGUCACUUAUAGAUGGAUCCGCGCCGCAUUAGCUAGUUGGUAAGGUAACGGCUUACCAAGGCAACGAUGCGUAGCCGACCUGAGAGGGUGAUCGGCCACACUGGAACUGAGACACGGUCCAGACUCCUACGGGAGGCAGCAGUAGGGAAUCUUCCGCAAUGGGCGAAAGCUUGACGGAGCAACGCCGCGUGAGUGAUGAAGGGCUUCGGAUCGUAAAACUCUGUUAUUAGGGAAGAACAAAUGUGUAAGUAACUAUGCACGUCUGGACGGUACCUAAUCAGAAAGCCACGGCUAACUACGU
RNAcentral lists this ribosomal RNA (496 nucleotides) under uncultured bacterium. RNAcentral's name for it is "partial 16S ribosomal RNA". It matches the Rfam family "Bacterial small subunit ribosomal RNA", at positions 28 to 506 of the family's 1533-position model. The record is from RNAcentral.